UGCAGUCGAACGAUGAUCCCAGCUUGCUGGGGGAUUAGUGGCGAACGGGUGAGUAACACGUGAGUAACCUGCCCUUGACUCUGGGAUAAGCCUGGGAAACUGGGUCUAAUACCGGAUACGACCAUCUGGCGCAUGUCAUGGUGGUGGAAAGCUUUUGUGGUUUUGGAUGGACUCGCGGCCUAUCAGCUUGUUGGUGGGGUAAUGGCCUACCAAGGCGACGACGGGUAGCCGGCCUGAGAGGGUGACCGGCCACACUGGGACUGAGACACGGCCCAGACUCCUACGGGAGGCAGCAGUGGGGAAUAUUGCACAAUGGGCGCAAGCCUGAUGCAGCGACGCCGCGUGAGGGAUGACGGCCUUCGGGUUGUAAACCUCUUUCAGUAGGGAAGAAGCGAAAGUGACGGUACCUGCAGAAGAAGCGCCGGCUAACUACGUGCCAGCAGCCGCGGUAAUACGUAGGGCGCAAGCGUUAUCCGGAAUUAUUGGGCGUAAAGAGCUCGUAGGCGGUUUGUCGCGUCUGCUGUGAAAGACCGGGGCUCAACUCCGGUUCUGCAGUGGGUACGGGCAGACUAGAGUGCAGUAGGGGAGACUGGAAUUCCUGGUGUAGCGGUGAAAUGCGCAGAUAUCAGGAGGAACACCGAUGGCGAAGGCAGGUCUCUGGGCUGUAACUGACGCUGAGGAGCGAAAGCAUGGGGAGCGAACAGGAUUAGAUACCCUGGUAGUCCAUGCCGUAAACGUUGGGCACUAGGUGUGGGGGACAUUCCACGUUUUCCGCGCCGUAGCUAACGCAUUAAGUGCCCCGCCUGGGGAGUACGGCCGCAAGGCUAAAACUCAAAGGAAUUGACGGGGGCCCGCACAAGCGGCGGAGCAUGCGGAUUAAUUCGAUGCAACGCGAGAACCUUACCAAGGCUUGACAUGAACCGGAAAGACCUGAAACAGGUG
RNAcentral lists this ribosomal RNA (942 nucleotides) under Paenarthrobacter nitroguajacolicus. RNAcentral's name for it is "bacterial SSU rRNA". It matches the Rfam family "Bacterial small subunit ribosomal RNA", at positions 56 to 1012 of the family's 1533-position model. The record is from RNAcentral. Lineage: Bacteria; Bacillati; Actinomycetota; Actinomycetes; Micrococcales; Micrococcaceae.